This 393-nucleotide ribosomal RNA is filed under the name uncultured bacterium. RNAcentral's name for it is "partial 16S ribosomal RNA". It matches the Rfam family "Bacterial small subunit ribosomal RNA", at positions 523 to 918 of the family's 1533-position model. The record is from RNAcentral.
AUACGGAGGAUCCGAGCGUUAUCCGGAUUUAUUGGGUUUAAAGGGAGCGUAGGCGGGAGAUCAAGUCAGCUGUGAAAUGUAGAUGCUCAACAUCUGCACUGCAGUUGAAACUGGUUUUCUUGAGUGCGUAAGGGGCAGGCGGAAUUCGUCGUGUAGCGGUGGAAUGCUUAGAUAUGACGAAGAACUCCGAUCGCGAAGGCCGCCGGCCGGGCCGCGACUGACGCUGAAGCUCGAAGGUGCGGGUAUCGAACAGGAUUAGAUACCCUGGUAGUCCGCACAGUAAACGAUGGAUACUCGCUGUCGGCGAUAUACGGUCGGUGGCCAAGCGAAAGCGUUAAGUAUCCCACCUGGGGAGUACGCCGGCAACGGUGAAACUCAAAGGAAUUGACGGGG